UACCAGCACCCCGAGUGGUCGGGACGAUUAUUGGGCCUAAAGCAUCCGUAGCCGGUUCUACAAGUCUUCCGUUAAAUCCACCUGCUUAACAGAUGGGCUGCAGAGGAUACUAUAGAGCUAGGAGGCGGGAGAGGCAAGCGGUACUCAGUGGGUAGGGGUAAAAUCCGUUGAUCCAUUGAAGACCACCAGUGGCGAAGGCGGCUUGCCAGAACGCACUCGACGGUGAGGGAUGAAAGCUGGGGGAGCAAACCGG
Molecule: ribosomal RNA, 253 nt
Filed under: uncultured bacterium
Lineage: Bacteria
Description: partial 16S ribosomal RNA
Rfam family: Archaeal small subunit ribosomal RNA
Source: RNAcentral